This 497-nucleotide ribosomal RNA is filed under the name uncultured bacterium. RNAcentral's name for it is "partial 16S ribosomal RNA". It matches the Rfam family "Bacterial small subunit ribosomal RNA", at positions 28 to 507 of the family's 1533-position model. The record is from RNAcentral.
GAUGAACGCUGGCGGCGUGCCUAAUACAUGCAAGUCGAGCGAACGGACGAGAAGCUUGCUUCUCUGAUGUUAGCGGCGGACGGGUGAGUAACACGUGGAUAACCUACCUAUGAGACUGGGAUAACUUCGGGAAACCGGAGCUAAUACCGGAUAAUAUUUUGAACCGCAUGGUUCAAAAGUGAAAGACGGUCUUGCUGUCACUUAUAGAUGGAUCCGCGCUGCAUUAGCUAGUUGGUAAGGUAACGGCUUACCAAGGCAACGAUGCAUAGCCGACCUGAGAGGGUGAUCGGCCACACUGGAACUGAGAAACGGUCCAGACUCCUACGGGAGGCAGCAGUAGGGAAUCUUCCGCAAUGGGCGAAAGCCUGACGGAGCAACGCCGCGUGAGUGAUGAAGGUCUUCGGAUCGUAAAACUCUGUUAUUAGGGAAGAACAUAUGUGUAAGUAACUGUGCACAUCUUGACGGUACCUAAUCAGAAAGCCACGGCUAACUACGUG